RNAcentral lists this ribosomal RNA (253 nucleotides) under uncultured bacterium. RNAcentral describes it as "partial 16S ribosomal RNA". It matches the Rfam family "Bacterial small subunit ribosomal RNA", at positions 524 to 776 of the family's 1533-position model. The record is from RNAcentral.
UACGAAGGUGGCAAGCGUUGUUCGGAUUUACUGGGCGUAAAGGGAGCGUAGGUGGUUAGGUAAGCCCUCCGGGAAAUCUUCAGGCUUAACCUGAAAAGGUCGGGGGGGACUGCCUGGCUAGAGGACGGGAGAGGAGCGCGGAAUUCCCGGUGUAGCGGUGAAAUGCGUAGAGAUCGGGAGGAAGGCCGGUGGCGAAGGCGGCGCUCUGGACCGUUUCUGACACUGAGGCUCGAAAGCGUGGGGAGCAAACAGG